CUCUCCCCCCUCCCAGGUCAAUACAACUGGGGAUGGAAAACAAAAUGGUUUUAACUCAGCCUUUUUCCCUACUGUUGCUCCUGUCACCUUUACUGGAACGAGACCUCAAAACCGUACUUACAAACCGUUUUCAUACCAAGACAAAAAAGAAAUUUGCAAAGUACAAAGAGAAUUUGGCCGUAAUAGUGAAAUAUUUAAAAGCAUUGUUAAAACAACAUUAACCUCAAAUGAUUUAGUUCCUACAGAUAUUAAAGAUCUUUUUAGGUGUUUGCUUACACCAUCUGAAAUUGAAUUAUGGGAAAACACGUGGAAGCGAUUUCUAAAAAACAUACUGGUGGAAUUAUUAAAAACUAAUCACCAAUAUGUAGAUUUAUUAAAUAAUCCUAUUACUUUAGAGCAUUUAUGUGGUGAAGGAGUAUGGGAAAAACCUGAGGACCAAACUAGGGCAUUGCCAAAAGCUGUGAUAGAUAAAAUCACUACAGCUGCAGAAAAGGCUUUCACACAGCUACCUACAGCUGACACCAAGGGCAGUUAUAUUAAUGUAAAACAAAUGCCCUCAGAAGGAUUCCUGCAAUUCUUAGACCGAUUAAGAGAACAAGUCUCCCGUCAGGUAGAAGACCCUGUGGUACAGACAGAGUUAGUCAAGGAACUUGCUCAGAGAAAUGCUAAUGAAUCUUGCCGUAGAAUUAUUUUAGGUUUGCCUGUGGAUCCCCCUCCGACCCUUGCACAGAUGUCAGCAGCCUGUGCAAGGAAAGCAGAGAUGUUUUCGCAGGAAAAGAGACCUCCCUGGACCACCCCAAGACCUGUUGCUGCAGUUUCAUCUGAGACAAGGAAUGAACAGAUGACGUCUGACCAGCAACAGCGAAUUUGUUUUUAUUGCAGAAAACCGGGACACUUUGCUAAAAACUGUCCUUUAAAACAACAGAAACACAUGGAUACCAGCUUGCCAAAAAACUUACAUCACAGCGCUUAUCCAUUCAGUGCGCAGACAUAAAUGAAGUGGAAACGAAUCUCUGUCCUUUAAUAAAAAGGGGGAAGGGGGGUGAAAAACUGCA
RNAcentral lists this long non-coding RNA (1055 nucleotides) under Cyanistes caeruleus (blue tit). RNAcentral's name for it is "lncRNA (ENSCCEG00000000862.1)". The record is from RNAcentral. Lineage: Eukaryota; Metazoa; Chordata; Aves; Passeriformes; Paridae.